RNAcentral lists this ribosomal RNA (492 nucleotides) under uncultured bacterium. Its description in RNAcentral is "partial 16S ribosomal RNA". It matches the Rfam family "Bacterial small subunit ribosomal RNA", at positions 29 to 507 of the family's 1533-position model. The record is from RNAcentral.
AGUGAACGCUGGCGGUGGGCCUAACACAUGCAAGUCGAACGGCAGCACAGUAAGAGCUUGCUCUUACGGGUGGCGAGUGGCGGACGGGUGAGGAAUACAUCGGAAUCUACUUUUUCGUGGGGGAUAACGUAGGGAAACUUACGCUAAUACAGCAUACGACCUACGGGGGAAAGCAGGGGAUCUUCGGACCUGGCGCGAUUGGAUGAGCCGAUGUCGGAUUAGCUAGUUGGCGGGGUAAAGGCCCACCAAGGCGACGAUCCGUAGCUGGUCUGAGAGGAUGAUCAGCCACACUGGAACUUAGACACGCUCCAUACUCCUACGGGAGGCAGCAGUGGGCAAUAUUGGACAAUGGGCGCAAGCCUGACCCAGCCAUCCCGCGUGGGUGAAGACGGCCUUCGGGUUGUAAAGCCCUUUUGUUGGUAAAGAACAGCAUCAGGUUAAUACCCCGCUGUUCUGACGGUACCCAAAGAAUAAGCACCGGCUAACUUCGUG